AGUGAACGCUGGCGGUAGGCCUAACACAUGCAAGUCGAACGGCAGCACAGGAGAGCUUGCUCUCUGGGUGGCGAGUGGCGGACGGGUGAGGAAUACAUCGGAAUCUACUCUGUCGUGGGGGAUAACGUAGGGAAACUUACGCUAAUACCGCAUACGACCUACGGGUGAAAGCAGGGGACCUUCGGGCCUUGCGCGAUGGAAUGAGCCGAUGUCGGAUGAGCUAGUUGGCGGGGGAAAGGCCCACCAAGGCGACGAUCCGUAGCGGGUCUGAGAGGAUGAUCAGCCACAUGGGAACUGAGACACGGUCAAGACUCCGACGGGAGGCAGCAGUGGGGAAUAUUGGACAAUGGGCGCAAGCCUGAUCCAGCCAUCCCGCGUGGGGGAAGAAGGCCUUCGGGUUGUAAAGCCCUUUUGUUGGGAAAGAAAUCCAGCUGGCUAAUACCCGGUUGGGAUGACGGUACCCAAAGAAUAAGCACCGGCUAACUUCGUGCCAGCCGCCGCCGUAA
Molecule: ribosomal RNA, 506 nt
Filed under: uncultured bacterium
Lineage: Bacteria
Description: partial 16S ribosomal RNA
Rfam family: Bacterial small subunit ribosomal RNA
Source: RNAcentral